RNAcentral lists this transfer RNA (68 nucleotides) under Rattus norvegicus (Norway rat). RNAcentral's name for it is "tRNA-Ala-AGC-23-1". Lineage: Eukaryota; Metazoa; Chordata; Mammalia; Rodentia; Muridae. The record is from RNAcentral.
GGGAUUUAGCUCAGUGGUAGAGCGCUUGCCUAGCAAGCGCAAGGCCCUGGGUUCGGUCCCCAGUUCCG